UGUUACUGACGCUCAUGCUCGAAGGCGCGGGUAUCGAACAGGAUUAGAUACCCUGGUAGUCCGCGCGGUAAACGAUGGAUGCCCGCUGUGCGCCCCUGAGGGUGCGCGGCCAAGCGAAAGCGUUAAGCAUCCCACCUGGGGAGUACGCCGGCAACGGUGAAACUCAAAGGAAUUGACGGGGGCCCGCACAAGCGGAGGAACAUGUGGUUUAAUUCGAUGAUACGCGAGGAACCUUACCCGGGCUUGAACUGCAGAGGAAGGAUCUGGAGACAGUGACGCCCUUCGGGGUCUCUGCGGAGGUGCUGCAUGGUUGUCGUCAGCUCGUGCCGUGAGGUGUCGGCUUAAGUGCCAUAACGAGCGCAACCCCUCUCCCCGGUUGCCAUCAGGUGAUGCUGGGCACUCCGUGGACACUGCCGCCGCAAGGUGGAGGAAGGUGGGGAUGACGUCAAAUCAGCACGGCCCUUACGUCCGGGGCUACACACGUGUUACAAUGGGGGGCACAGCGUGCCGGCGCUCCGCAAGGUGCGUCCAAUCAUGAAAUCCCCCCUCAGUUCGGACUGGGGUCUGCAACCCGACCCCACGAAGCUGGAUUCGCUAGUA
Molecule: ribosomal RNA, 600 nt
Filed under: uncultured bacterium
Lineage: Bacteria
Description: bacterial SSU rRNA
Rfam family: Bacterial small subunit ribosomal RNA
Source: RNAcentral